Molecule: long non-coding RNA, 960 nt
Organism: Oxyura jamaicensis (ruddy duck)
Lineage: Eukaryota; Metazoa; Chordata; Aves; Anseriformes; Anatidae
Exons: 5
Source: RefSeq, a predicted model, not a curated record
GAAUAAACUCUCCAGAGGUCAGUCCUUUUAAAUGCUUUCCUGGCUUUGUCAGGUUCAAGAGCCCAGCCUUGCAAACUGUGAAGCCUCAAGUCUAUGUGCUGUUGAACCCUGUGCACUUAACAAUACCAAAAUUUUAAAUGUCCUCUAAAAUUCCCCUUUAUAUGAGGAGGUGGACAAAUCUAGAGUUUGUCACCAUCAUUCUGGUACAAAAGGAAGAGCAACAAAAAGAGGAUAGACUGUAAAUAUGUGUAGGCUUACACAUGUAAAUUACUUACAUGUCUUUGAGCACUGAAAUAGUUGAUGUGGAUACUUAUUACAGCAGCAGAACUGGACAGUAGUUCAUGCGUUAUUGCUUCGAGCUCUUUGCCAGCUCAGGAAUCCACCUCUUGUAGAUAUUUAAAACAAGCAAACAAAAAAGCUGAUGGAAAUAGAUAAUAAAUCCGGUGCCAGAUUGAAUAAAAACAAGCUCUGUGUGUCUGUAGCAAAACACCCAGUAAAUAUCUGGAAGCAUCAGACAUCAGCAGUCUAGGAAAAGUAUUACAACCUGCAGAAGAAAAAAUAUAUGAAUCUAUAUCAGUGAGCCCUGGUCAUGUGCAGAGGUGCUGGUUACAGACUGCUUUAGUUUGAAGUCAGAGGCUGUCUGUUUUGAAUAUAAAUAUGAGAACUGUGGAGCAUUCCCACAAGUGUAUUUUUGAGAGGAAAUGACAUGGGUGGUGUGUAUUGAAAACAAAAACUUGAGCAUCUUUUGAAAUGUUUACAGGUUUAUUUAUCUAAAGGGAAACAGAAUACAUCAGGAAAUAUCUUAGCUCUUCCCUGUCCUUUUAUACUUAUUAAAAGAGAGGAAUAGUAAUAACAAGAAGAACUGACAUGCAGACAUUAAAAAUAAUAAGCACUCAUUAAAGCGUUUGGAGCAUUUUUAACCAGCUCUGAAUAUUUUCCUGGUGGAGUGCCUGAUGUGCU